RNAcentral lists this ribosomal RNA (619 nucleotides) under uncultured phototrophic eukaryote. RNAcentral's name for it is "bacterial SSU rRNA". It matches the Rfam family "Bacterial small subunit ribosomal RNA", at positions 879 to 1501 of the family's 1533-position model. The record is from RNAcentral.
AGUACGCUCGCAAGGGUGAAACUCAAAGGAAUUGACGGGGGCCCGCACAAGCGGUGGAGCAUGUGGUUUAAUUCGAUGCAACGCGAAGAACCUUACCAGGACUUGACAUACUACAAAUCCUUUUGAGAAAAAGGAGUGCCUUCGGGAAUGUAGAUACAGGUGGUGCAUGGCUGUCGUCAGCUCGUGUCGUGAGAUGUUGGGUUAAGUCCCGCAACGAGCGCAACCCUUAUUUUUAGUUACCAAUUCGUUGGGUUCUCUAGAAAGACUGCCGGUGACAAACUGGAGGAAGGUGAGGAUGACGUCAAGUCAGCAUGCCCCUUAUGUCCUGGGCUACACACGUGCUACAAUGGUUAAGACAAAGAGUCGCGAGCUCGUAAGAGUCAGCUAAUCUCAUAAACUUAGCCCAAGUUCAGAUUGUAGGCUGCAACUCGCCUGCAUGAAGUUGGAAUCGCUAGUAAUCGCUGGUCAGCCAUACAGCGGUGAAUCCGUUCCCGGGCCUUGUACACACCGCCCGUCACACCAUGGGAGCUGGUCAUACCCGAUACCGUUUGCUUAACCGUUCGGAGGGCGACGUCUAAGGUAGGGCUAGUGACUGGGGUGAAGUCGUAACAAGGUAACC